Molecule: long non-coding RNA, 1182 nt
Filed under: Rhinolophus ferrumequinum (greater horseshoe bat)
Lineage: Eukaryota; Metazoa; Chordata; Mammalia; Chiroptera; Rhinolophidae
Description: lncRNA (ENSRFEG00010021207.1)
Source: RNAcentral
UGGAAAUUCUGAUUCAGGAACCUGGGUUGGGGUCCAGGAAUUUAUAAUUACCUCUGGCAGUUCUUAUCUGCAGCCAUUAUCAGAUAGGCAAGACCAAGACCAGGUGAUGCUGUGUGAGAAACACGCCCCAGAUCUCAGCGACUCAACAACUAAGCUCUGUCUUGGCAGUGGGUUUGGUUUGGGUUACUUCCCAGGGCCUCUGUCCUUUGAAGAAGACUCAGUGCUUCAGGUGGAGAAGUUUGUACAUAGUUUAUCAACAGGCUGGACUCUGAAUGCCUCAUGCUCACGGACCUGUCUGACUCAUCUCUGCUUCCCAAUGUACCAGGCACAGGACCAGGACUUGUCGAUUGCGACUCUGCUCUUUGUACUAAGAUUACACUCUGCUGGAGACGCAGAGCAAACUUGCCUCCAUAUACUUCCGGAGCCAGAAACCCAGGAGGGAUCAAGGCCCCGUCCACUUCCUCACCACCCUUUCCAUCUGCAAUUGGUCUGACAGACUCUACUGGAUGUUCCACCCUCACCUCUCCUUUUUAUUUUGUCCCUGGGGUGAUUUCUAACUGAUCUGCCCAUCAACCUUCACGUAGCCAGGGCUACUACCAACCCUCGUGCAAAUAAAAAAUGGCGAUUCUUCCUCAUGACCCUCUACCUCCAUCUGUCAGAUAAUUGUUGUAAUAAAUAUUCAAAUAUAUGAUGUCUACAAGGUGGUUGGUGGCCGUCGUGCGUCACGUCUUGUGUAGUAGUGCAAAGGGCACAGCCAUCUGUGGUGGCCCUUACGUGGCAGCCAGAGGGGUCUUUGUAAAACAAAAGUUUGAUUGUGACAACAUGGAUGGACCUAGAGGGCAUUAUGCUGAGUGAAAUAAGUCAGACUGACAAAGACAAAUACCAUAUGCACUGAAUUACAUAUGGAAUCUAAAGAAUAAAAUAAAUGAACAAACAAAACAGCAACAGACUCAUAGAUGCAGAGAACACUUGGAUGGUUGCCAGAUGGCGAGGGCGUCAGGGGACAUGGUGAAAAAGGUGAAGGCAUUAGAUGUACAAAUUGAUUGUUACAAAAUAGUCAUGGGGAUGUGAAGUACAGCAUAGGGAAUAUAGUCAAUAAUAUGUGGUAAUAACUAUGUAUAGUGCCAGGUGGGUACUACCCUGUUUCCCCAAAAAUGAGACCUAGCUGGACAAUCAGCUUUA